This is a non-coding RNA of Salvia hispanica, 312 nucleotides long. The record is from RefSeq and is a predicted model, not a curated record. Lineage: Eukaryota; Viridiplantae; Streptophyta; Magnoliopsida; Lamiales; Lamiaceae.
CCUUCAUAAGUUAAUAUUCUACUACAAAUUAGUUAGCUUUAUGUUCCCAUUUAACUCUGAAAGAGGAAUACUAACUUAUUGGGCUCUUACAGUUUGCAUCUAUUUGUUCUGGUCCAUUUACAUGCUACUAUGGCGGUUAUGAGUUGAUUUAGUGUUUCCAACUGCAGGGGGCUACUCCUAAGAUGUUAGAGUUCAUGCGGGACCUUAGAAAGGUAGUAGCUAUUGGCGUUGUUGGAGGGUCUGAUUUUGUUAAGAUAGCAGAGCAGCUUGGAAAAACAGUUACUGAAGACUGCUGAGAGCGGCCUAGUUGCU